UUAAAUGAAUCUAAUUUUAGAAUGCCACUGUUAAUGGCAGCUAGCGCCUCAUUAAGACGCCAUUUAAA
RNAcentral lists this transfer RNA (68 nucleotides) under Anurida maritima. RNAcentral's name for it is "tRNA-Asn". Lineage: Eukaryota; Metazoa; Arthropoda; Collembola; Poduromorpha; Neanuridae. The record is from RNAcentral.